Molecule: long non-coding RNA, 788 nt
Organism: Oncorhynchus tshawytscha (Chinook salmon)
Lineage: Eukaryota; Metazoa; Chordata; Actinopteri; Salmoniformes; Salmonidae
Source: Ensembl
AGUGUGUGUGUGUGUGUGUUGCCUGCUGCUGUAAGCCGUGUUCAAAGCUCUUAUCCCAACUCUGUCUCUCUCUCUGUCCAGGCCAGAAAUGCUGCCUAAUCUCUAUGGUUACCUAUGGCCUACGUCUCUUUCCUGUCUCCACUGAAACACUUCGUCCUUCUCUGAGGGCGAGUGAUGUGCGGUGCGAGUGGUGUGUGUGUUUAGCGAGAGCGUGAGCCAACGAGUGAGAGCAGUGUGUGUGGAGUGAGCGAGUGCAGAGCGAGCCACUCACACGGAGCAUGCCUCUGCGUCCUGCAGCCGGCAAACAUGAGCCACCCAGCUCUCCACAGCAGGACCAGCACACACACUCACACCCCUACACACACACCAACGGCAGCCAGGGGGCCAGCUCUGACAGCGGCAGCUCACGGGAAGAGGACAGCGGCAUUCCCGUUUCUGUCAGUGUUUUCUCUUUCCGUCCCACUCGGGAGCGGAGCCCCAGUGCAGGAGGAGGCAUGGCGCAGGACAAGGGCAACACGUUGGUGAUCCGCAUUGGAAUACCGGACCUGGCACAGACGAUUCUGGAGACCAGGGGAUGUUGUCGACCUUCCAUCCUGCCAACUCCCCUGUGGCAAUGGCAUAGACUAAGAUAUUCAUGGAGCUAGAGGGGGUUGAAGGAGUGUUAAGUAGAAUAAGGACUGUGCAGUAGAAUGUAGGCUUACUUUAUGUUUCCCUUCGGCAUAUGUCAAUUAUGAGCAUGUCUCAUUUAUGUAUAUACAUUUACACAUGUAUGCUUGGGGGAUAAGUGG